Clupea harengus (Atlantic herring) is the source of this 2900-nucleotide long non-coding RNA. The record is from Ensembl. Lineage: Eukaryota; Metazoa; Chordata; Actinopteri; Clupeiformes; Clupeidae.
AGCAAGCAGGAGCCUCAUAAAUGGGGAGAGAGGAGAGAGUGUCGGCAGGUUCCCCCGCCCUGGCUUUGCUGUUAUUUGUUACAGGAUCUCGGCGGAGUGCCGCGAGUUGCAGAGGAAAGUUUGGAAGCAGAGGGCCGAGGAACACCGUCUUUGGGGAAAGCGAGAGUGGAGACGUGACGUCUAGUGGGGAUCCCUCGACAAUCAGCUGACUGAAGGCUGACUCAGGACAACGUAAACCAGCCGUGACUACAGUGGAGCCGUAACUGGUGUGGACGUACACCUCCUUUCGCGCAACUGCCAGGGAGGAGAGAAGUGUGGAGCUUUCCUCCCUCAACGAGCUAAGUGGCCCUUCCUUGCCCUGUUAGUUUUAGAUUAAGCAAGACUGUGCUUGAGUGUUCAUGUUCCACGAGUGACAGCGUCCAGGGGAAUCAGUGCGGGCCUUCUCCCUCCGGUGUCGAGAGCUCUUCCAGCGGCUGAAAGACCGAGACCCUGAUGUCUUCUCUGAGGCAGGGCAGGUGCUAAGAGAUCAAUUUACCAUGGGCCUACAGGAUACCGAACUUCGUAGAGAAUUGAACCGCAUGAUUCGUAGGAAUGAGGUAACCACAUUCGAACAGGCUCGUCAGGAAGCUCUUCACGUAGAAGGUGAUCGACAGAGCAACAUAUGGCAACCCCCAACAUGUGCAGCAGUACGUGGAGGGGAACCACCUCGUACAGCUGAUCCUCGGAGUGAUUGGAAAACAGAACUGAAGACUGAACUCCUAUCGGAAAUGCGCGUGCAGAUGAAGGAGAUGCAGAGAGCCCUGCGGGAAGAACUUCAAUCGUCCAGCAGCCAUUCCCGAGACCCUGCUUUACAAACACAACAUUAUCCCCAAACCACCUCUGGUCGGACCAGGGAUCCCCAGACAGGAGAUGGCGGAGGAAGUAGCGGUGCGUGUGGUCACCUACCGGCCCCCCGACAAUGAAACACCCUCACACUCCGUGGAACAGGAAGUGCAGGCCGAAGAGUGGGGCUGGAGGCCUCAAAGAUGGAUUAAUCUGCAAAGCACUGACCCCAACCUGGCUAGGCUGAGACUACUCCUAAGUACCGGUACUAAACCCCCUGGACAAGCCUGUAAGAAGGAGCCAGCUGAAGUUCGAGAUUUAUUACAACAGUGGCCACGCCUGAGCUUGCUAGACGGUGUUCUGGUUCGUAGGAUGCGGGACUCUAAUACACAAGAACUUUAUCAGCAGAUCGUGGUGCCCCUUUCGGAGAGACAGUCGGUGUGGGAAACACUGCACACGAGUGCUGGGCACCUUGGGACCGAAAGGACUCUUUAUGCCCUACGAAGGAGAUUCUACUGGCCCCGAAUGGGAAGAUGCAGUCAAAAGUGGGUGGCCGCCUGUGAACGCUGCUCCAUAAGGAAAGCUCGCACCGAGAGAAGGGCUCCGCUGGUCCCCAUUGUGACAUCUGCUCCCCUGGAAGUUCUAGUGCAAGGCACAUGGGUGAACCAAGAACCAGUGAGUGUAGAAGAUUGGGUCCAAAGGCACCAUCAGCGUUUGGUAGGUGCUUAUCAAAAAGGUUCAACACAUGCUGCACAAGCAGCUGCACGGCAAGGAAAAUAUCAAAAAGGUACGCAGUUAGGUCCCUUGGUUCCAGGAGAACGUGUUCUGAUAAGAACCUUUAGACGGGGUAAUGGGGGUAAAUUAGCUGACCGUUGGGAGUCCAUGCCCCAUUUUGUAGUACAGCAGUUGCCCUCAGGGAUUCCUGUGUAUAGAUUAAGGCCGGAAGGGAAGGAAGGGCCCAUUCGCACUAUUCAUCGGAAUCGUCUGAGGCCAUGCCUCUUUCACCCAAAGCCAACCCCAGCAGCUGAGAUGUACCUGGCACAAACACCCGUUCCUGAUGAGCCGUGGCCCUUUUGGGCCAUUGAACCUGCACAACACUCUGGGGUGGGUCAUCAUUCUGUGGAAAUGGGAGGACUGGGGGGACGAGAAGUAGAUUUAGGAGAAGAUGCCAUUACAACUGCAGGGACACUCCGUAGGUCAACGCGAACACAUUUGGGAAAUCCUCCAGUUAGGUAUAGAUAAAGCAACAUUAAACAGGACAUGUAGUCACGAGGACGUGACUGUGAUCUAACAGGGAGGGGUGUCACGGGGGUACGUGGGAGUAAAGAGCAGGUUGCGGUAGGAACUGUAUGUGAGGGAAGCAUAGGUGAGGGAAGCAAUGGGGUGCUGCACUAGACCAGCAAUUUGUCUACCAAUCCUGCAUUAAUUAUCCCUCAAUCAGUCAAUUCAAUUCAGCUGGUUUAUUUAGCCAUAGCAAGCAGGAGCCUCAUAAAUGGGGAGAGAGGAGAGAGUGUCGGGAGGUUCCCCCGCCCUGGCUUUGCUGUUAUUUGUUACAGGAUCUCGGCGGAGUGCCGCGAGUUGCAGAGGAAAGUUUGGAAGCAGAGGGCCGAGGAACACCGUCUUUGGGGAAAGCGAGAGUGGAGACGUGACGUCUAGUGGGGAUCCCUCGACAAUCAGCUGACUGAAGGCUGACUCAGGACAACGUAAACCAGCCGUGACUACAGUGGAGCCGUAACUGGUGUGGACGUACACCUCCUUUCGCGCAACUGCCAGGGAGGAGAGAAGUGUGGAGCUUUCCUCCCUCAACGAGCUAAGUGGCCCUUCCUUGCCCUGUUAGUUUUAGAUUAAGCAAGACUGUGCUUGAGUGUUCAUGUUCCACGAGUGGUGAGCAGUGUAUAGCGCCGCUAGCGUAGAAAAGCAGUAGCCUGCUAAUGACUGUAUGUAUGUUGGUUGCCUGUGUUAUUGAGCCUCCACAUUCACAGUAGGCCUAUAGGCCAUCUACAAGUGGCUGCCUACCUGACGGUGUGUGUGUGUGCGUGCGUGUGUAUGUGUACUUCCUAGUGAAGCCCAGCAGAGAC